GACGAACGCUGGCGGCGUGCUUAACACAUGCAAGUCGAACGGAAAGGUCUGCUUUCCCUUGUGGAUUGCGGGUACUCGAGUGGCGAACGGGUGAGUAACACGUGAGUGAUCUGCCCCCAACUUGGGAAUAAGCCUGGGAAACUGGGUCUAAUUCCCGAUAGGACUGCAGGGUGGCGCCUGUGGUGGAAAACGUUUUUCUAGUGGUUGGGGAUGAGCUCGCGGCCUAUCAGCUGGUUGGUGGGGUAAUGGCCUACCAAGGCGGCGACGGGUAGCCGGCUGGGGGGGAUGGACCGCCACAUUGAGACUGAGAAACGGCCCAGACUCCUAGGGGAGGCAGAGGGGGGGAAUAUUGCACAAUGGGGGGAAGCUUAAUGAAGCGAGGAGGGGUGGGGAUUGACGGCCUUCGGGUUGUAAACUGCUUUCGAGCGGGGAGAAGCCAACUGGUUGGAAGGUUGUUGACGGUAGUGGAAGAAGAAGCACCGGCUAACUACGUG
This 494-nucleotide ribosomal RNA is filed under the name uncultured bacterium. RNAcentral's name for it is "partial 16S ribosomal RNA". It matches the Rfam family "Bacterial small subunit ribosomal RNA", at positions 28 to 507 of the family's 1533-position model. The record is from RNAcentral.